GACGAACGCUGGCGGCGUGCUUAACACAUGCAAGUCGAACGGAAAGGCCCUGCUUUUGUGGGGUGCUCGAGUGGCGAACGGGUGAGUAACACGUGAGUAACCUGCCCUUGACUUUGGGAUAACUUCAGGAAACUGGGGCUAAUACCGGAUAGGAGCUCCUGCUGCAUGGUGGGGGUUGGAAAGUUUCGGCGGUUGGGGAUGGACUCGCGGCUUAUCAGCUUGUUGGUGGGGUAGUGGCUUACCAAGGCUUUGACGGGUAGCCGGCCUGAGAGGGUGACCGGCCACAUUGGGACUGAGAUACGGCCCAGACUAGUACGGGAGGCAGCGGUGGAGAAUAUUGCACAAUGGGCGGGAGCCUGAUGCAGCAACGCCGCGUGCGGGAUGACGGCCUUCGGGUUGUAAACCGCUUUCGCCUGUGACGAAGCGUGAGUGACGGUAAUGGGUAAAGAAGCACCGGCUAACUACGUG
Molecule: ribosomal RNA, 468 nt
Filed under: uncultured bacterium
Lineage: Bacteria
Description: partial 16S ribosomal RNA
Rfam family: Bacterial small subunit ribosomal RNA
Source: RNAcentral